UAUAAUAUUUGAAUUGAAUGCAAAAUGUUUAAUUUGAAUGUUUUUAUCCCAGUGUAAAAUUGUUGUUUUCACAGUGAAAACAAUCAAAACAAAAUUAGUAAAAUAUUCAAAAUCACUUUCAUGUUUAUUCUUUCUGGCAACCAUGACAACAAAAAUAAAAAAUCUGGCAGCCAAUGACGAUCUGUCAAGUAAGAAAUUUGUGGAAGUUAUGUUUACAAAGUGGCCUCUCACGAAUCUAUCGUCUGCUUAGUGAAUUUGUGAUUUUUCGGUGUGAUGACAAACGUAAACUACGCUAAGCCAUGUACAGGGAGGACGAGCCCAUUGCAACGGUGGAUACAAACGGAAACUCCAAUGAGUCCAACUCCAACGCUACCUUGUCGCUGUCGAAAGAAUCGGAUUACGAUGUUACGCUGGAAACGGCAAGGAAACGGACCCCAUCAAGCGGUUUGAUUUUCUCCCACUUUAUGCUAUCAGCCCCGGCAAAGGAUCAUCAAGUAGCCCACCAGCCAUGGCGAAAGGCAAACAAAGAAAGGAGCCGAUUAGGGAGAGAAGCAACUCGCUCCUGUGGCGACCCGGAAGAAUAUAUUUGUAUUGCACUCAUCUCCAUCGAACGAUGGAACAGGGAGAUGAUGAGGAGCUGUUGGCGUGUUCCACUUUGAAGCGUCCCCGCCGUAUAUCAAGGCUGGCGAGAUACGAGACUACCAAACAGAGGUCUGAAACGGAUUAUAAUUUUUCGGUACGAAUAUAGAAUCAACAGAAUUCUGUAGACAAUUUCCCUGUUGGAUUAUUUGAAGAGCUUGCGAAGCAAUCCAGGACUGCACAUUGUUAUCGUGCCAAAAUUGACGCUGCAGAACUGGGUCAACAAACUUGGACGGUGGCGUGCGAUUUGAUUGAUUGAAGACCAGAAAAUUAGGAAUGUAUUCAUCAGGGAUGUGCUGAAGCCUAGGAAAGGCCUAUCGUACCAAGAAGGAAAAAUCUGUGCUUUCAGAAAUUUUGAGGGACUUUGAGACGGCCAACCGCCUGUUGCUGACGUGAUCGCCGCUGCUGAAUAAUGAAUUAUUGGCAGUGGCUGAUUUGCUACUCGCCGCUUCCACUUCCAGGCGCUAUCGUAUAUGCGCAAAUAGCCAGCUUGUUGAAGCCUUUCCUCAAUCGACGGAUUGAAAUCGGAAUUAAAGGAGAGACUGCGCCGAAAAAGCAGGCCACAAUCUUUGUCGGACUGUCCAAGAUGCAACGCGAGUGAUAUUCCAAAAUUCUCAUGAAAUAUAUCGACAUUGUAAACGAAGCUGGUAAAAUGGAAAAGAUCCGCCUUCAGAACAUUUUGAUGCAGCUUAUGAGGUGCACCCUCACCUGUUUUAUGGUGCAGAGCCUGACCCACCAUACAACACCGAUCAUCAUUUGUUGAAGAACAGCGUAAAAAUGGUCGUUUUGGAUAACUUGUUAAUCAAACUUCAGGAGCAGGAAUCUCGAGUACUGGUUUACGACGAUGACAUCGACCGUAUUCUGCUGUGAAGUGAAGAGCAAACUACCAAACGACGGUUUACGGAAUAGUAAUUUAUUCAAAAUGAGUGAAGCCGCUCCGGAUGAUAUGUGGACCCCGUUCAAGCACCUCUUCAAUAUUAUCGACUGGUUCCUGUCGGCGUCCGGCAGUAGCGCUGAAGAACAGCAGGAACAAAAUGUGGCCAGUCUGGAUGCGCUGCUGCGAAAGCAUAAGCAGAAUUUCACCACCCUGCUGCUAAAUCCACCGAAGAAUGCCAAAAGCCGGGUAGGGAUUACGGACGAAAUAACGCUGCCUGAGUUUGGGUGGUGGACGAAAGUGUGAUUAUUUCCGAUAUGUACGAUUUGAACGAGUACAUUGCCCUGGAAUUGCUUUGCACAGCGCAGCAGCAGAUGCCGAAUCAUCCGGGGCUGCCGCGGGGCUAGGUGGUAGUAUUGCUUAAUAGGAAGUAGGAAUAGUGCUUAGUAGGAAGUCGCUGAUUGCGAGCUUGAAGGAGCUGUUUCAGGCCCGGGUUGGUGUGAGUUGGUGCACGGAUGCGCCGCACGAGAUUACGCAGCUGAUCACAGCGUACACGGACGGGCUUGUGGCUGAUGGAGUGCUUAAUAAAAUCGUGGAGUUGCGGAGGGAGUUGGACGUAACGAAAGAACUGGACGUUCUGACGAUGAAUCGGGCGCUGGGUCCGCGGAAGCAUCAUCGUCAGGUGCUGGAUUUGUUCGAGAAGAUUCGGGUGCUGUUGGCAACGUAUUUGUUAACCUGGGCGACACAGUGCGGGCUUCCACAGGGAACGACAGUGAAGAUGAUCCGAUACUUGGUCAAGUACAAGUCGACGGUAUUGAGCGGAGGAGUGGACAAUGUGACGCUGGCGCUUCAUAUGGCGUUGAUGUACGGGUUGGGUAUGAGCGUGAUUCAGUGGUGGGAGGAUGGGAAGCAGGUCGUGAAACGGCUGCCAAUGGUGAGGGAUCCGGAGUUCAUCGAGAAGGUGAUGGAUUCAAUGUGUUCAUGUUGGGAGUGCGAAAGUUUGUGAUCGGUUUGUAAAUUGUUUUUUCUUAUUGUAUCUAAA
RNA transcript from Armigeres subalbatus, 2555 nucleotides. RefSeq lists it as uncharacterized. The transcript has 5 exons. The record is from RefSeq and is a predicted model, not a curated record. NCBI's taxonomy places the organism in Eukaryota, Metazoa, Arthropoda, Insecta, Diptera, Culicidae.